This is a long non-coding RNA of Gallus gallus (chicken), 1169 nucleotides long. The record is from Ensembl. NCBI's taxonomy places the organism in Eukaryota, Metazoa, Chordata, Aves, Galliformes, Phasianidae.
AAACAUACACAAUUUCAAGGGUUAGGCUGCUUGAUGCUUUUCCUCACUUAUACCAUUGUCUUAAGUUGGUUCUGGUGCUGCUAAAUGCAAGUGUCAGUAGUCUUAUUACUUAAAACAGCAUGUCUGAAUACCGUCUUUAUUGUUAGCACGUGAAGACUGCUUAAGGCUGAAAAGCAGUUAGUUUUUUGGUCAGUUGGUAGUGCUGUUUGGAGGACUGCCCAAUCUCCAAAUGCUCCCUUUGUCUGUAGCUGCUGCUCUGCAUUUACAGUGAUGAGAAGAUGAGUGAAAACUGAAGUCCUUCUUAAUCUCUGCCAUACAGCCAAACUUUGAGGGAGAGGAAGAGCAAGAGCCUUUCAUACUAAAGUCCUAAGGCACCAAGGGGGAGGAAGAUGGGAAGAAGCCUGCUGUAGCUGCACAGUCAGUGGUGGGGAGGAGCUGCAGGCCAGCCCUGGAGAAGCCUGAGGGUGUUCAUCACUCCCUGCAGCCCUGCUAUACACCUUGCUGUGCAUCCUGCAUGAAAGGCAUAUGUGCUAACUGCCUUCAAGGGAUGGAGGUCCCUCAGGUUGCCUCUGCCUGUGUUCAGCAUCUGCUGGGUGCCCUGCAGUUCUGCCUUUGUGGUGGGUUUGGUGAGGGGCCAAGCCUGGCAUGAGCCCAGCUGGCUCGCCCACACAUGGGAGCAUGGUUCAUGCUCUGGCCUUGUCCCUCUGUAGUGUCAAAGAACUAACCCUGUCUCAGGUCUGGCUUUGGCUCUGGACAGUAGGCAGCCCUCAUGUGAUAGCCAUGCACACUGGAGGCCAGCACAAGCCACAGGCCAUUCCUUACAGGCCACCAAGCCCAGUGCCGUCAGUGAGUGUACUCAGAGCAGCAGGAUCUGGGGUGGCCAUGGGCUGGGUCAGCUGGUCUGCUGGAGUUUCGUCACACUGAAACACCAGAGGGCAUGCAGAAAGGAGCUAGAGCUGAAAGGGGGGUGAGCUCUGCAGGCUUGUUCCAGAUUGGGCAAUAUCCACAGAAGUGACAGAGGCUGUGGUCUUCCAGCCUUAAAGCAGUGAGCUCUGCUUGACUCAGAAGCAUCCCAUUGCCAGUGACUGUCGUGAAUCAGGCACAUGCUUCCUGUCUGAUCAAUUAAUUACUGCCACUGUUAUUACUAUGGCUAAUAAAGUACUUGAAAG